GUUGGAACCGAGAUCCCGGUUGUGGUUCAUCUGCCUGUCUGACUUCCAACGGCUACGAAUGAGUCCCAGCUGCUGUUCUCUGAGCACCAGCCCGUGUCUGUCCCAGCUCGCUCCAAAGCGUUUGUGUGUAUUGAGUUAUUGAGAUCACACGUCCCUUUCUUCAAAACAUUCCUCUUCUCACUGAUACAUCCACAGUCAGUUUGCAAAACGCUUAGAAAUUAAUAUCUGAGGCAAGUGUGAAAUAAGCGGUUUCGCGAAGGACCGAAGCGGUGCCGGUCCGGGCGCUGCUGCAGCGCUGGCAGAGCCCGCGGCUACGGCCGGGACAGUCGGACCAGGGACCGCGGCUACGGCCGGGACAGUCGGACCAGGGACCGCGGCUACGGCCGGGACAGUCGGACCCAUCCCGCCUUCAGCCGCCGCAGUGAUGAACCUGCACCUCCUGGGGCUGCCACUCGGCGCAGGGAGGAGCAACUGCCUCGAGUCCGUUCUCUUAAGUAGAAUGAUGAAUAGGAGAAAGACCCUGUUUGAAGAACUUCAGUGACCUCUCUGUGCCUUACACACCGGAAAGGACUGCUGGCCUGAAGUGGAAAGUGCUGCAGCUUUGCAGAAGGAUGAGAAUUCUUUGAUACAACCUCAAAAUCAUACCUCAAUGCUAAUUUAUAAAGAAUAAAGUCAAGAAGAAUCAGUAUAAAUUCAGAGACAGUUUAGUCUGACUGAAGCCAAGACACAUUGAUGCGUGAUUUAAAGAGCUCAUAAAAACAGACAGCUGGCUUUAGAAUCCAUGGAAAGCAAUAAAGCAGUUAAAAAUUCUCCCAGUUGUAAUGCCUAUAGAUUUCCUUAUCUUAAAUUCUUUGGCCAAACCCCUGGAGCAAAUUGCAGGGCACGUGAUGGGAGUUUUGUCUUUCAGCCCGGGGCUGGGGCAGCUCCCGGCCCCUCUCGGUGCCCCCUCCGCGCGGUGGCUCCGCUCUAGGGGAGCUUGUCUUGGCGGCAGUGUCUAGACAUUCCCAGCUCCUAUCCUUCCUGACAGUCUCAUGCCAGUGGUAAUUUAAAAAUUGUUUGGGAUAGGCUGUGCCUCAUAGACACAGGGAGCCAGUAAUAACCCCCAGUUCAGUGACCCUGGUCGGAUCAUCAAACAGAUGGUACAAGCAACCUCAGUUCAGUGUUGGGUCAGGAAUCGUGACCUCCCCUGACCUUUUUUGUAGAUUUAAAAUUGUUUUGAGAAAGAGAAGAAUAAAAAAGAUACGACUCCAGGCAGUUCUGGAAAGCACUCUAGCUUCCUGUACUGUACACAUGCAUAUAAGUAACAUGUUUAAACAGAUGCAGCUCUGGCAGGCCUGAAAAAUUAGGAUUUAGAUACUUUGUACAUUUUUUUUUAAUGCAGUGCACAUUGCUUCUAUUUACUCUAAAAACUUUGAAGUUAAAAGACACUGUACGAAAACAUUAUCUUCACUACAUUUAAUAGAAAAGACAAAAAAGCAGGUCAGGUAAAUUUAUUUUUUAAAAAUGAAGAAUUAGCUAAGCAAAACAAAAAACCAAAAUCACCGUAUGUGGAUUUUUCAGAUGCAUUACAGAAAACUGUCUGGUGGAUCAGUGGUGUGUACCAGAUGAAAAAAAUUAACACUAAGAUUAUUAGACAAAUUGCCUUGUAAGAGCAAAAUGUAUACAAAUGUAGGCUGGUUGGUUUUCAAAGGUUUCCUUUGUGUACACAGUAUUUGCAGUCACAACCAAUAAAACAAAAUAUACUGGCACUUUA
Molecule: long non-coding RNA, 1753 nt
Organism: Pseudopipra pipra
Lineage: Eukaryota; Metazoa; Chordata; Aves; Passeriformes; Pipridae
Exons: 2
Source: RefSeq, a predicted model, not a curated record